AUCCAUGUCACGUAGUGAGCUAAGAGCUAUUUGAUACGUCCACCGGCACAUAAAAAAGGUAUUUGGUGUCAUGGCAGUUUACAUCAUCAAUCAUGCCGCUGCAAUUCCUGCCUUUAAUAUGCAAUCAAUACCAUCCUCUUUCUUGAGAUCUAUACCUUCACUCACGAAAUGAUGGGUGAGGACGUGGCACUUUAGAAAUCCUCUAAUUGAGAUGUCACUACUGUCAGAUUUGAGAAAUGUAAGAAUCUGAUUAAUAAUUUGAUUUAGAUCCCAUUUGAACUCUGUACACACUUGGGCUGCGAACUAGUGACCCAAUAGUGGCCUGCAAUAAAGUAUUUUACUUUAUUUCUAGUUAUUUUAUAAAAUCUCAUAUAAUUUAUUUUUACAUGAAAUAAUUCAUUAAAAAUA
This 408-nucleotide long non-coding RNA is filed under the name Spirodela polyrhiza (greater duckweed). RNAcentral describes it as "long non-coding RNA (SPOL_LNC001970)". The record is from RNAcentral. Lineage: Eukaryota; Viridiplantae; Streptophyta; Magnoliopsida; Alismatales; Araceae.